RNAcentral lists this ribosomal RNA (253 nucleotides) under uncultured bacterium. RNAcentral's name for it is "partial 16S ribosomal RNA". It matches the Rfam family "Bacterial small subunit ribosomal RNA", at positions 524 to 776 of the family's 1533-position model. The record is from RNAcentral.
UACAGAGGAGCCAAGCGUUGUCCGGAUUUACUGGGCGUAAAGAGCGUGUAGGCGGCCACGCAGGUCCGUUGUGAAAACUGGAGGCUCAACCUCCAGCUGUCGACGGAAACCGUAUGGCUAGAGUCCGGAAGAGGAGAGUGGAAUUCCUGGUGUAGCGGUGAAAUGCGCAGAUAUCAGGAAGAACACCAAUGGCGAAGGCAGCUCUCUGGGACGGUACUGACGCUGAGACGCGAAAGCGUGGGGAGCGAACAGG